This 261-nucleotide ribosomal RNA is filed under the name uncultured archaeon. RNAcentral describes it as "partial 16S ribosomal RNA". It matches the Rfam family "Archaeal small subunit ribosomal RNA", at positions 748 to 1008 of the family's 1478-position model. The record is from RNAcentral.
AGGGUGUAAACGCUGCAGACUUGGUGUUGGGAACCCUUCGGGGGUGCUCAGUGCCGGAGAGAAGUUGUUAAGUCUGCUACUUGGGGAGUACGUCCGCAAGGAUGAAACUUAAAGGAAUUGGCGGGGGAGCACCGCAACGGGAGGAGCGUGCGGUUUAAUUGGAUUCAACGCCGAAAAACUCACCAGCAGCGACUGUUACAUGAAAGUCAGGUUGAUGACCUUACUAGAUUCUCAGAGAGGAGGUGCAUGGCGUCAGUGACU